UACGUAGGGUGCGAGCGUUGUCCGGAAUUACUGGGCGUAAAGAGCUCGUAGGUGGUUUGUCGCGUUGUUCGUGAAAACCUGAGGCUUAACCUUGGGCGUGCGGGCGAUACGGGCAGACUGGAGUACUGCAGGGGAGUCUGGAAUUCCUGGUGUAGCGGUGGAAUGCGCAGAUAUCAGGAGGAACACCGGUGGCGAAGGCGGGUCUCUGGGCAGUAACUGACGCUGAGGAGCGAAAGCGUGGGGAGCGAACAGG
RNAcentral lists this ribosomal RNA (253 nucleotides) under uncultured bacterium. RNAcentral describes it as "partial 16S ribosomal RNA". It matches the Rfam family "Bacterial small subunit ribosomal RNA", at positions 524 to 776 of the family's 1533-position model. The record is from RNAcentral.